RNAcentral lists this ribosomal RNA (254 nucleotides) under uncultured bacterium. RNAcentral describes it as "partial 16S ribosomal RNA". It matches the Rfam family "Bacterial small subunit ribosomal RNA", at positions 524 to 776 of the family's 1533-position model. The record is from RNAcentral.
UACGGGGGGAGCAAGCGUUGUUCGGAUUUACUGGGCGUAAAGGGCGCGUAGGCGGUCAGCACAAGUCAGUUGUGAAAUCUCCGGGCUUAACUCGGAAAGGUCAACUGAUACUGUGCGACUAGAGUGCGGAAGGGGCAACUGGAAUUCUUGGUGUAGCGGUGAAAUGCGUAGAUAUCAGGAGGAACACCGGUGGCGAAGGCGGCUAUCUGGACGGUCACUGACGCUGAGAUGCGAAAGCGUGGGGAGCAAACAGG